RNAcentral lists this ribosomal RNA (301 nucleotides) under uncultured bacterium. Its description in RNAcentral is "partial 16S ribosomal RNA". It matches the Rfam family "Bacterial small subunit ribosomal RNA", at positions 509 to 807 of the family's 1533-position model. The record is from RNAcentral.
CAGUAGCCGCGGUAAUACGAAGGGGGCUAGCGUUAAUCGGAAUUACUGGGCGUAAAGCGUGCGCAGGCGGUUUUGUAAGACAGGCGUGAAACCCCCGGGCUCAACCUGGGAAUGGCGCUUGUGACUGCAAAGCUAGAGUGCGGCAGAGGGGGAUGGAAUUCCGCGUGUGGCAGUGAAAUGCGUAGAUAUGCGGAGGAACACCGAUGGCGAAGGCGAUCCCCUGGGCCUGCACUGACGCUCAUGCACGAAAGCGUGGGGAGCAAACAGGAUUAGAGACCCCCGUAGUCCCUGUCUCUUAUAC